UGGUACUAGAGAUAACGUAAGGGAAAAUUAUGAUACUACCUUACUAUAAGUGUUGUCCAACUAACUGGUGCCAGAAGACUCGGUAACGCCAGAAACGCAAACGUUAGUCGUCCUGAUCAGGCGUAAAGGGUAAGUAGGCUGCUUUGAAAGUUAUUAAUUAGGAAGCUUUGUCUAUUUUAGCAUUACCUUAGCGAAAGCUAGGCAAGUGUUAUCUAGGUAUAUAAUUAAUAAUGAAUUAAAGCUAGAAUCAAAAAGAGGAUAAGCCAAAUAAUAUUUAGAGUAGGGAUGAAAUCCGUAGAUACUAAAUGGAAUACUAAUGGUGAAAACUUUUAUCUAAUAAUGAUUGACGCUGAGGAACGAAGGUGAGAAUAGAAAAUAGGAUUAGAGACCCAGAUAUCUCUCACUGUCAACGAUGAAUGGUGGUUGUUAGUUUUAMAAUAAACUAGUAACGAUGUUAACGCGAUAACCAUUCCGCCUUGCGAGUACG
Molecule: ribosomal RNA, 487 nt
Filed under: Macropsalliota americana
Lineage: Eukaryota; Fungi; Basidiomycota; Agaricomycetes; Agaricales; Agaricaceae
Description: Leucoagaricus americanus small subunit ribosomal RNA
Rfam family: Bacterial small subunit ribosomal RNA
Source: RNAcentral